UGACUAUUGAUGUGAUGAAUUACAUUUUUUGAUUUCCUUAUGUUGAAUCAACCUUGCAUCCCUGGGAUGAAUCCUACUUGAUCAUGGUGCACAAUCUUUUUGAUAUGUAUUUGUAUUCAAUUUGAGAGAAUUUUAUUGAGAAUUUUUACAUCAAUGUUCAUUAGAAAUAUUGGUCUAAAGUUUUCUUUCUUUGAUGUGUCUUUGCCUGGUUUUGGAAUCAGGGUGAUAUUGGCCUCAUGGAAUGAGUUUGGAAGUGCUGCCUCUUUUUCUAUUUCCUGAAAUAAAUUGAAGAGUAUUGGUAUCAGUUCUUCUUUAAAGGUCUUGUAGAACUCUGGCUGUGUAACCGUCCAGUCCUAGGCUUUUCUUGGUUGGUAGGCAAAAUGUGGCAUAUAUACACAAUGGAAUAUUAUUCAGCAAUAAAAGAGAAUGAAAUCAUGGCAUUUGCAGGUAAAUAGAUGCAGUUGGAGAAGAUAAUGCUAAGUGAAGUUAGCUAGUGCCAAAAAAAAAAAAAAAAACAAAAACAAAUGGCGAAUGUUUUCUCUGAUAUAAGGUGACUGACUCAUAGUUGGGUAGGGAGAAGGAGCAUGGGAGG
RNAcentral lists this long non-coding RNA (592 nucleotides) under Marmota monax (woodchuck). The record is from RNAcentral. Lineage: Eukaryota; Metazoa; Chordata; Mammalia; Rodentia; Sciuridae.